RNAcentral lists this ribosomal RNA (238 nucleotides) under Salmonella enterica. RNAcentral's name for it is "partial 23S ribosomal RNA". It matches the Rfam family "Bacterial large subunit ribosomal RNA", at positions 137 to 413 of the family's 2925-position model. RNAcentral also lists the same sequence under 1 other name. Lineage: Bacteria; Pseudomonadati; Pseudomonadota; Gammaproteobacteria; Enterobacterales; Enterobacteriaceae. The record is from RNAcentral.
GACUCGUCACACUAUCAUUAACUGAAUCCAUAGGUUAAUGAGGCGAACCGGGGGAACUGAAACAUCUAAGUACCCCGAGGAAAAGAAAUCAACCGAGAUUCCCCCAGUAGCGGCGAGCGAACGGGGAGGAGCCCAGAGCCUGAAUCAGCAUGUGUGUUAGUGGAAGCGUCUGGAAAGGCGCGCGAUACAGGGUGACAGCCCCGUACACAAAAGCGCAUGUGCUGUGAGCUCGAUGAGU